AAAUGAAAAACUAACUUGACAGGGCCUUUAUGUAAUGUGUUCAUUACAGCUGCAGACUGAUCGUUAAUGAUGCUCCCAAGCAACAAAUUAAAAUUAUUAUUAACUGUUAUACGAGAUUAUAGUGAUCAAUCAAUUAUUAAUUAAAUAACUUCUUAUCAAGAGCCCCUUAUACAGCCUGAGAUACAUGCAGUCCAGAAAAUCUUCACACACGCUAGGAAUCCCAACAUGUAGCAUAGCAAACUGAUGACAAACUCUGCUAAAAGACUCUACCAAGCAUUGGCAUCCAAACUAAGUACAAUUCAAACCUCAAUCAGGUACAUGGGAAUGUAAUAAAAAGAGAAAAAAUGAGAACAGCACCGUCUCAUUUAGAGCUUCUUCUAAUUUCUUCUCAUCAAGCAAACCACACAAACAAGGUGUCGUAUGAAAGCAGAGACUCUGUGAGCUAGCAGCUAAAGAUAAGCAAACCUUAAAUUAUAAAUCAUUUCUUACUUUUGCUGUUUUGUGGUCAGAAGUUUUAUUCCACCUAAAAAAACACAUAGCUAAUGUGUUCUCAUGUGACUCUGCCUUUGCUUGAAAUGAAACAUGAAG
Long non-coding RNA from Melanotaenia boesemani (Boeseman's rainbowfish), 588 nucleotides. RefSeq lists it as uncharacterized. The record is from RefSeq and is a predicted model, not a curated record. The transcript is spliced from 3 exons. NCBI's taxonomy places the organism in Eukaryota, Metazoa, Chordata, Actinopteri, Atheriniformes, Melanotaeniidae.